GCGGCUGGAGGGGCGGCCCGUCGCGCGCGCGCGCCAGUGCUCGCCCGCCGGCCGCCCGGGCAGCACCGCCGUGUCGCGCCGCGCAGCCGCGCCGCCGCGGGCCCCAGCAGGACGACGCCGGUGCAGUCGACGUGGACGUCGUCGAGGACGUCGUCAACGCCAUCGCCACGGACGACGCCGCAAGCACUUUAGUGAGGGCCCUCCCCCAGCUGCGCCACCAAGACAACUCGCCGGCCCCAGGAAUGCGUGGUUCAGCAUCACGCCCCCAGCCCGCCCGCAUCAGACAUUUGGCUCAUGCACGAUAUUAGUUACUAGUAUUCGUUUGUCUUAAAACAAGAGCGUGAGCCCAUUUUGUCAUGCAUAGCAAAGUAUAUGUGUGACAGACAUAUGAUUCACAAAUAAGUGUGUGAAAAGUGCUAAAUUGUUGAGCACAUGACAUAACUUUCAUGCGCACAUUGGCGUGGUGAUUUUUCUACGCUUUUUACAAGUUCGAAUGUUGCACUUCUGCGUAGAGUAACUACGCACGAAGUACUCUGGAAACGUAAGCAUCGUAGAAUACAUUUCUAAUUUUGUUAUGAACAAAGUGCCCGCCUAAGUCCUUUUCCUUCAUCGAUUAUAAAAAACUUCAACUUUUAAGAUAUUCUUUUCGUUCUGUUUCUUAACAAUGUGAUCGGGGCAGGGGAUGCUGACGACACGCAAGUUUCCAGAGUACUGCAAUUUAAUUCAGGAUUAAAAAUUACUUUUCAUACAAUGUUGUCUUAUGGGGUCGGCGCACAAAUAUUAUUACUUUUAAACUGAGCGUUUUAAAUAAUAAAUGAACUAAACACAAUAUUUAUACUCUGAGCUAUCUUCAGCAACUGUCGGUAUAUCACAUGUUAAACUUUUCACCAAUACAUCUAAAACAGUGUCUGUUA
Molecule: long non-coding RNA, 914 nt
Organism: Frankliniella occidentalis (western flower thrips)
Lineage: Eukaryota; Metazoa; Arthropoda; Insecta; Thysanoptera; Thripidae
Exons: 2
Source: RefSeq, a predicted model, not a curated record